Molecule: long non-coding RNA, 1209 nt
Filed under: Nicotiana benthamiana
Lineage: Eukaryota; Viridiplantae; Streptophyta; Magnoliopsida; Solanales; Solanaceae
Description: long non-coding RNA (NBEN_LNC017518)
Source: RNAcentral
GAAAACUUUGAGAUUAAACUGAAGAAUUAUGGAGAAUGUAGUGAGAGAAUUUAGAGAAAAGGAGGAGCGUCUGAGAGAACUCUCUAGAAGAGAGAGAGUUUAUUAAUCAGAAAAUGAAACAAAAUGAAUCCGUCCACAAAAUAUCUGAUACAUGGCAAUAUAUACGCCUAGCAUUGGGUCGGGUCAGACGACCCAAUGAUGAAAAGAAAAUGGGGCUCAGAUACAUAUUGGGCUCAGACACACCUUUAGCCCAAACAACAAAUUAAUCAUCAUAGCCCAUACAAUGUAUAUCAGAGAAUACAAUGUAUAUAGAGUGUGUACAAUCAUGUAAGCUCUUUCAUCUCAACAACCAUAACCGUGCUGACUUGAUUUGGAACAAGCGGACCAGGCAGGAAUUAAGAGAGUUGUUGUAGGCUGAGGUUCAUAAUCUAAAUGUUGAAAAAGAACGCACUGAGGAUAUUGUUCCUGGCGGUGCAAAUAGAGACUCAAUAACAUAAAUAUACAAUGUGUAUACAGUGUGUACAAUCAUGUAAGCUCUUUCAUCUCAACACCCUCCUCAAGUUGGAGGGGGAAACCACCUGCAACUUGGAUAACAACGGAAGAAGCACAGUGCCGGGCAAUGGCUUAGUGAGCAGGUCGGCCAGUUGACGAGAAGUAGGAACAUGAAGCAGCUUGAGAAACCAGUUUGUAGCAAGUCCCCAACAAAAUGGCAGUCUACCUCGAUAUGUUUGGUACGUUCAUGAAAAACAGGAUUGUUAGCAAUAUGGACAGCAGCCUGACUAUCACAAUAUACAGAAAUAGGAGAAGAAACGUCGGCCAGUUGACGAGAAGUAGGAACAUGGAGCAGCUUGAGAAAACCAGUUUGUAGCAAGUCCCGAACAAAAUGGCAGUCCACCUCGAUAUGUUUGGUACGUUCAUGAAAAACAGGAUUGUUAGCAAUAUGGACAGCAGCCUGACAAUCACAACAUACAGAAAUAGGAGAAGAAACAGAUACCCCACUAUCAACCAACAAGCGAGAAACCCAAGUUAACUCAGCAACAACUUUGCUGAGGGCUCUAUAUUCUGCCUCAGCAGAAGACAGAGAAACAACAGGUUGCUUCUUGAAUUUCCAACUGAUCAAGCAACCACCCAAAAGCACACAAAAUUCAGUAACAGAUCGUCUAGUAUCAGGGCAUGCAGCCCAGUCACUAUCAGAAUAGCCAGUAACAG